Long non-coding RNA from Topomyia yanbarensis, 640 nucleotides. RefSeq lists it as uncharacterized. The record is from RefSeq and is a predicted model, not a curated record. The transcript has 3 exons. Lineage: Eukaryota; Metazoa; Arthropoda; Insecta; Diptera; Culicidae.
CUGCGUUUCAUAUGGUUCCUUUAAAAUAAUUUCGUUGCUAACUUUCCAACGAAUUUUAUGUACCAUUUGGAUUAGGAGUGCCUGUAUGUUAAAUUGAUUGACCAGUACUGUAUUUUAACUUGUCAAUAACUCUAAAACCCAAAAAAGAGCGGAGCAUGAUGUAACUUCCGAUAAAUUAAAUUUGUCCAGGGAGUUUAAAAAUUCAAACGACCUUGCAGUGUAAAAACGGAUGAGGUACCUAUCUAGUAUGCGGCAUUCUCCACGGUGGCAAGUAGCAAACGCUGUGUAUACGGAAUUCAAUGCCAAAGGAAAAAUCGCCCAAUUUGUGAAAUCGGGCACUAUAGGAAGGACAAAGAAACCUUAUCCCACGACUUGGAUGAACCAAGCUGCAUCGCUUCUAGGGUAAACUCAUGAAGUUAGAUCUCCAUCGGUCACUUUUUUCCAGAUGACAUUCUCUGUGUUUUUCGCAGUAACACCGUGGAGGGUGACGAUUGAUGCAGUUGCAGCUCUGCCUAGUGAAAUGCGCGCUCCAACAUUUGUAUUGCGAGCGGAACAAAAAAUAUGAUUGUAUGCAAAUUUAUUGUCAUGCUGGCACCAAUCAGCCUUUGUAAUAUUGUGAAAAAUAUUCUGUGAGAUUAUC